AUUAUCCCAAGUAGCACGGGGCCCGAGAAAUCCCGUGUGAAUCUGUCAGGACCACCUGAUAAGCCUAAAUACUCCCAGAUGACCGAUAGCGGACAAGUACCGUGAGGGAAAGGUGAAAAGUACCCCGGGAGGGGAGUGAAAUAGAACCUGAAACCGGAUGCGUACAAGCAGUCAGAGCCCGCAAGGGUGAUGGCGUACCUUUUGUAUAAUGGGUCAGCGACUUAGUUUAUCUAGCAAGCUUAAGCCGUUAGGUGUAGGCGAAGCGAAAGCGAGUCUGAAUAGGGCGUGUUGAGUUCGUGGGAUCAGACCCGAAACCGAGUGAUCUAGCCAUGGCCAGGCUGAAGGCUGGGUAACACCAGCUGGAGGGCCGAACCCACACCUGUUGAAAAAGGUCGGGAUGAGCUGUGGCUAGGGGUGAAAGGCUAAUCAAACUCGGUGAUAGCUGGUUCUCCCCGAAAUGCAUUUA
This 466-nucleotide ribosomal RNA is filed under the name Ochromonas sp. CCMP1393. RNAcentral's name for it is "partial Bacterial large subunit ribosomal RNA". It matches the Rfam family "Bacterial large subunit ribosomal RNA", at positions 402 to 872 of the family's 2925-position model. The record is from RNAcentral. Lineage: Eukaryota; Chrysophyceae; Chromulinales; Chromulinaceae.